This 77-nucleotide transfer RNA is filed under the name Crystallibacter crystallopoietes. RNAcentral describes it as "Arthrobacter crystallopoietes tRNA_Pro_CGG". It matches the Rfam family "tRNA". From Rfam's summary of the family: Transfer RNA (tRNA) molecules are approximately 80 nucleotides in length. Their secondary structure includes four short double-helical elements and three loops (D, anti-codon, and T loops). The record is from RNAcentral. Lineage: Bacteria; Bacillati; Actinomycetota; Actinomycetes; Micrococcales; Micrococcaceae. RNAcentral also lists the same sequence under 2 other names.
CGGGGUGUGGCGCAGCUUGGUAGCGCGCGUCGUUCGGGACGACGAGGUCGCAGGUUCAAAUCCUGUCACCCCGACGA